AGAAACCCUAAAAGUUGCCGCAAGAUGUUGCAACGGCUUCUCCAAUCCAAUUGGGGGCAACGAAAAUCCAGUCAUUGCAACAUCCUUCUACUUCUCAGGCGGUUGUCUUCUACUCCUGAGGCCAUAUCAGCUAGUGAAGGAGACUUUGAAGAGUGGAGAAGAUGAGUGUUUAACACGUGCAUUGAUAGUGACAUUUUCCUGUUUCAAAAUGGUUCUCCUCGAUCGAUUUCAUAGCUCCUUUGGAAGCGAUUUCAUUGGCGAUUGUUCUUCGUUUUCGUUACACCUUCGUUCCUAGGCUGCAAAUCAAUCAAUCCUCCCGCACUUGGUUUUCAGCUCAAUCGUCUCUCUGUUAUGUAUUUGUGUGACCCGAAUCUGAAACCCUAGAUUGUUCUUUAUCAUCAUUUUCUCUCUCAUCGCGCAGCUCCUUUGGAGGCGAUUUCUGAAGCCGAUUGUUCUUCAUUUUCGUUACACCUUCGUUGCUAGGCUACAAAUCGAUCAAUCCUCCCGUACUUGGUUUUCAGCUCAAUCGUCUCUCUGUUAAAUGGAGUGUGACCCGAAUCUGAAACCCUAGAGUUCUUCACAACCACAGAUCGACGCUUCUUCUCUGCAAAUUUCUGUUGGUCAUACAUUCUGUGUAUCGAUUUCGUCAAGGGCGAUUCUUUCAGGCUUAGUAGAAUGCAGCUGUUUCGUGGUGGAGUUGAAGGACAUGGUAGUAAGUUAUGGGCAGUGGCACCAGUGGGAUUUAUAGGAAGCAUUCUCCAGUUGCUGCAACUCCAAGAAGCUGGUGAUCUCUAACUUAAGCAAAUGGAGGCUUAUGCAAGUAUAAAGAAGUGUGUGUACAUUUUAUGGAAUGAAUUUUAGUGAUUUCUAGAUGUAGGUGUGUACAUUUUAUGUAAAUAUAAUGAAGUGUGUAUGUACACAUAUAUUAAUUUUAAGGAAUGUCUAGCUCCCUAUAUGUGCAAGUAUAUAUAUGAAUGGUGCAACAACAAUUUAUUAAGUUUGUGAUGUACCAAAAAAACUUGUCAUUUCAUG
Molecule: RNA transcript, 1032 nt
Organism: Cornus florida
Lineage: Eukaryota; Viridiplantae; Streptophyta; Magnoliopsida; Cornales; Cornaceae
Exons: 4
Source: RefSeq, a predicted model, not a curated record